This 495-nucleotide ribosomal RNA is filed under the name uncultured bacterium. Its description in RNAcentral is "partial 16S ribosomal RNA". It matches the Rfam family "Bacterial small subunit ribosomal RNA", at positions 28 to 523 of the family's 1533-position model. The record is from RNAcentral.
GAUGAACGCUGGCGGCGUGCUUAACACAUGCAAGUCGAACGAAGCAAUCUAACGGAAGUUUUCGGAUGGAAGUUAAAUUGACUGAGUGGCGGACGGGUGAGUAACGCGUGGGUAACCUGCCUCACACUGGGGGACAACAGUUAGAAAUGACUGCUAAUACCGCAUAAGCGCACAGGACCGCAUGGUCCGGUGUGAAAAACUCCGGUGGUGUGAGAUGGACCCGCGUUUGAUUAGCUAGUUGGUGGGGUAACGGCCUACCAAGGCGACGAUCAAUAGCCGACCUGAGAGGGUGACCGGCCACAUUGGGACUGAGACACGGCCCAAACUCCUACGGGAGGCAGCAGUGGGGAAUAUUGCACAAUGGGGGAAACCCUGAUGCAGCGACGCCGCGUGAGUGAAGAAGUAUUUCGGUAUGUAAAGCUCUAUCAGCAGGGAAGAAAAUGACGGUACCUGACUAAGAAGCCUCGGCUAACUACGUGCCAGCCGCCGCCGUAA